RNAcentral lists this ribosomal RNA (253 nucleotides) under uncultured bacterium. Its description in RNAcentral is "partial 16S ribosomal RNA". It matches the Rfam family "Bacterial small subunit ribosomal RNA", at positions 524 to 776 of the family's 1533-position model. The record is from RNAcentral.
UACGGAGGGUGCAAGCGUUAUCCGGAUUCACUGGGUUUAAAGGGUGCGUAGGUGAGCAGGUAAGUCAGCGGUGAAAUCCCCGAGCUUAACUUGGGAACUGCCAUUGAUACUAUCUGUCUUGAAUACCUUGGAGGUGAGCGGAAUAUGUCAUGUAGCGGUGAAAUGCUUAGAUAUGACAUAGAACACCAAUUGCGAAGGCAGCUCACUACACGGUCAUUGACACUGAGGCACGAAAGCGUGGGGAUCAAACAGG